UCGAAUCCUGCCCCAGCAGAAUGACCAGAGAA
This 32-nucleotide ribosomal RNA is filed under the name Temu cruckshanksii. Its description in RNAcentral is "Blepharocalyx cruckshanksii partial 18S ribosomal RNA". The record is from RNAcentral. Lineage: Eukaryota; Viridiplantae; Streptophyta; Magnoliopsida; Myrtales; Myrtaceae.